Lethenteron reissneri (Far Eastern brook lamprey) is the source of this 1584-nucleotide long non-coding RNA. RefSeq lists it as uncharacterized. The record is from RefSeq and is a predicted model, not a curated record. NCBI's taxonomy places the organism in Eukaryota, Metazoa, Chordata, Hyperoartia, Petromyzontiformes, Petromyzontidae.
UCAACAGUAUGAUACACCAUGUACAGUAGCAUUGGUUUAUAUAUCUAAAGAAGGUUUGCUUUAACGAAUUUUACAUUUGAACAUGUGCUACUUGUAUUUAAAAACAACACAGCAAUGGAAACGUAAGACCUAUGUCAAGUGUCAAUAUUCGUCAUUAACCAUGUUUUUUGUUGUGGCCCUUCCUUGCUCUUGGUUGUAGGUUCUUGGACAAUGACACGGUUGUAGACUGCACAUUGCUGGGUGGUGGCAAUGUGUGCAUCGGCGCAUGGCCGGGAAGUCCAUCGCCCACUCUUGAGUUGCGUGUGUCAGCCUCAAAUUCCUUUGGCGUCACAAAUUCAUCCGUUCAGCUCCAAUUAAAAACCAUCCUGAGACCUGAGCAUCCAGUGGUACUGCAGAGCUGCCCAUCAGGUCUGUCACCAGGUCCAUCCAGACCUUCAGUGUCCGUGCGCUGGGCUUCACCAGCCUCCUGGCGACUGCCAGAGGUUUUCCCCCUGCAAUAUCGACUCAGGUUCAACAUCACCCAUGUGGUGGAAGUCUCGGGCUAUAACACGUACAGCUACACCUUGACUGGUGUGGCACCAGGCAUCCAAUAUGCUAUCCAAGUGGCAGCAAAGGAUGCUGCCAACAAUGGGGAGUGGAGCGAAUGGAGCAAACUCAUCACCCUCCCAUAUAACCAGGCCACUUCAGUUUCUGCAUUACCAUUCAUCAUCUUGGCGUUUGUGGCGAGUCUUUUGGGACUGGAGCUCUGCUGAGCCAAACCAAACUGGCCCUUCGAGUAUGCGAGGUGUACCGCACGAAUGCCACCAAGGACAUCCCCUUGCCCAUCCAGGAAGGUGGCGACUUUGGCCCUGGAUAUUAAUUCACCGAGGCUACCCGUUUAAUUCUACAACACGCACGCACGCACACAAAGGCGUGCCCACUGCAUGCACAAAAGCUCUCGCCCUUAUUCAUAUCAUGAUUGAAUAUCUGUUGCCAGAACAAUUUACUGUGUGGGGAAACACACAUGCAAUGGAGUUGAUGGAUCAUGUAUUGAAUCACCAUGUAAACAACACCCACUUGCAAGCUGCCAGAGGGAGAUGUGACAACUGUCUGACCUAUACGCAGUUUGAUUACCAUAGUCUACCCUCACAUGCACAGGCUUUCUGCAGGUACUCGUUAUCUGAGUUUCAAAGAUAGACAAAAAAUGCAAAACCUAUACUUUCCAAGCAGAACCUUCACGAAAAAAAAUCUCUUAACAUUUACACUCCAAUGAUGACUGCUCUUAUGCCAUCUGGCAUUUGUAAAAAUGUGUUUGGUUAUAUCUAAGAAGGUUCUUAGAAGCUGUACUGUGUAAUGACAGAUCCAUAUGAAAUACCGAAACACCAUACUAAUAUUCAAGAUGUAAAUACUAUUUUGUACCAUGGUCUAAUAUGAACAAAAGUAACGCUGCAGGUACUUGUACAUUUUUUUUACUUGACUGUGAUGAAAGUGGAACGAGAAUGCUACAUGGUGCCACUACUCUUAUGAUACAGACAAACACUAUUCCUGGCUGUGCAUCUGAAUAAUUACAUAGUCGAUGCAUUAUCAAUGGUUGCAACAUUUCUG